GGAAGAGUGACCUAGUGGUUUGAGUGUUGGGCUGGGACUCUGGAGGCCAGGGUUCGAUUCCCGGCUCGGCUA
Molecule: transfer RNA, 72 nt
Filed under: Phrynosoma platyrhinos (Desert horned lizard)
Lineage: Eukaryota; Metazoa; Chordata; Lepidosauria; Squamata; Phrynosomatidae
Description: tRNA-OTHER
Rfam family: tRNA
About the family: Transfer RNA (tRNA) molecules are approximately 80 nucleotides in length.
Source: RNAcentral